CUCUCUAUUGCCCAUAAGUUAUUGAAGGGCUGAUCGGGGUUCCAAAUCUAGACAAACAUUUCUUGAUAUCUUGCCUUAUGUCAAGAUAAAUGAUACUACUCCGAGUGGAAACAAAGUGGCUUGAGCAGAUAUAUGUUCACAUCCAUAUCCAAAACACUUCCUAUCGGGUUCACUUACCUGAUCAAAGUAUUUUUUAUCUUCAAGGCAAUGUGGCAUUUUCCACCAUUUUGAUCAGUCUGUCAAUUUCUUACUCUUUUCUUCCUGAAACUGAAUGUAACUAGUUUAGCAAUACAAACAUCACAAUCUCUGCUUUGAAUAGAGCGACAUUGAAUAUCCUAAGUGACUCUCACCCGAACAAUUGAUAGUA
Molecule: long non-coding RNA, 367 nt
Filed under: Nicotiana benthamiana
Lineage: Eukaryota; Viridiplantae; Streptophyta; Magnoliopsida; Solanales; Solanaceae
Description: long non-coding RNA (NBEN_LNC010807)
Source: RNAcentral